UUAAAUCAAAUUUGUAUGUAGUUGCAGCGUUCGCCUGUUUGCCGCUAGGGGCACUGUUUCAACUGCAUACAAAUUUGGGUUA
Non-coding RNA from Bombyx mori (domestic silkworm), 82 nucleotides. Lineage: Eukaryota; Metazoa; Arthropoda; Insecta; Lepidoptera; Bombycidae. The record is from Rfam.